UACGUAGGUGGCAAGCGUUGUCCGGAUUUACUGGGCGUAAAGGGCGUGCAGGCGGUUUGUUAAGUCUAGGGUGAAAGCUCCCGGCUCAACUGGGAGAGGUCCUUGGAUACUGGCGAACUUGAGGGAUGCAGAGGAAAGUGGAAUUCCCGGUGUAGAGGUGAAAUUCGUAGAUAUCGGGAGGAACACCAGUGGCGAAGGCGGCGACCUGGACCGAUACUGACGCUGAGACACGAAAGCGUGGGGAGCGAACCGG
This 253-nucleotide ribosomal RNA is filed under the name uncultured bacterium. Its description in RNAcentral is "partial 16S ribosomal RNA". It matches the Rfam family "Bacterial small subunit ribosomal RNA", at positions 524 to 776 of the family's 1533-position model. The record is from RNAcentral.